Molecule: ribosomal RNA, 877 nt
Filed under: Ramularia helminthiae
Lineage: Eukaryota; Fungi; Ascomycota; Dothideomycetes; Mycosphaerellales; Mycosphaerellaceae
Description: eukaryotic LSU rRNA
Rfam family: Eukaryotic large subunit ribosomal RNA
Source: RNAcentral
UAAGCAUAUCAAUAAGCGGAGGAAAAGAAACCAACAGGGAUUGCCCUAGUAACGGCGAGUGAAGCGGCAACAGCUCAAAUUUGAAAUCUGGCGCAAGCCCGAGUUGUAAUUUGCAGAGGAUGCUUCUAGGUAGCGACCGGUCUAAGUUCCUUGGAACAGGACGUCAUAGAGGGUGAGAAUCCCGUAUGUGACCGGCCCGCACCUUCUACGUAGCUCCUUCGACGAGUCGAGUUGUUUGGGAAUGCAGCUCUAAAUGGGAGGUAAAUUUCUUCUAAAGCUAAAUACCGGCCAGAGACCGAUAGCGCACAAGUAGAGUGAUCGAAAGAUGAAAAGCACUUUGGAAAGAGAGUUAAAAAGCACGUGAAAUUGUUGAAAGGGAAGCGCUCACAACCAGACUUCUGGGCGGUGUUCCGCCGGUCUUCUGACCGGUCUACUCGCCGUCCCGAGGCCAACAUCAUCUGGGACCGCCGGAUAAGACCUCAGGAAUGUAGCUUCCCUCGGGGAGUGUUAUAGCCUGUGGUGAUGCGGCGCGUCUCGGGUGAGGUCCGCGCUUCGGCAAGGAUGUUGGCGUAAUGGUUGUCAGCGGCCCGUCUUGAAACACGGACCAAGGAGUCUAACAUCUAUGCGAGUGUUCGGGUGUCAAACCCCUACGCGUAAUGAAAGUGAACGGAGGUGGGAAGCGCAAGCUGCACCAUCGACCGAUCCUGAUGUCCUCGGAUGGAUUUGAGUAAGAGCAUAGCUGUUGGGACCCGAAAGAUGGUGAACUAUGCCUGAAUAGGGUGAAGCCAGAGGAAACUCUGGUGGAGGCUCGCAGCGGUUCUGACGUGCAAAUCGAUCGUCAAAUUUGGGUAUAGGGGCGAAAGACUAAUCGAACCAU